UAUGGAGGUGGUAAGCGUUAUUCGGAAUUACUGGGUUUAAAGGGUGCGUAGGCGGCUUGAUAAGUCAGGGGUGAAACCCUAUCGCUUAACCAUAGAAUUGCCUUUGAUACUGUAAAGCUUGAAGGGGGUAGAGGUCAGCAGAAUGUGGGAUGUAGCGGUGAAAUGCAUAGAUAUGCCAUAGAACACAGGUUGCGAAGGCGGCUGGCUGGGCCUACUUUGACGCUGAGGCACGAAAGCGUGGGGAGCAAACAGG
This 253-nucleotide ribosomal RNA is filed under the name uncultured bacterium. RNAcentral describes it as "partial 16S ribosomal RNA". It matches the Rfam family "Bacterial small subunit ribosomal RNA", at positions 524 to 776 of the family's 1533-position model. The record is from RNAcentral.